Pyronema omphalodes is the source of this 83-nucleotide non-coding RNA. The record is from the annotation of a GenBank genome assembly. NCBI's taxonomy places the organism in Eukaryota, Fungi, Ascomycota, Pezizomycetes, Pezizales, Pyronemataceae.
GCUUGCGUGGCCAAGUGGUAAGGCGUCCCACUCGUACUGCUUACGCAAUGGGAAGAUCAGCGGUUCAAUUCCGCUCGUGAGCA